Molecule: ribosomal RNA, 719 nt
Filed under: Gaetbulibacter sp.
Lineage: Bacteria; Pseudomonadati; Bacteroidota; Flavobacteriia; Flavobacteriales; Flavobacteriaceae
Description: bacterial SSU rRNA
Rfam family: Bacterial small subunit ribosomal RNA
Source: RNAcentral
GAUGAACGCUAGCGGCAGGCCUAACACAUGCAAGUCGAGGGGUAACAGAGAGAAGCUUGCUUCUUUGCUGACGACCGGCGCACGGGUGCGUAACGCGUAUACAAUCUACCUUUUGCUGAGGGAUAGCCCAGAGAAAUUUGGAUUAAUACCUCAUAGUAUAUAUGAAUCGCAUGGUUUAUAUAUUAAAGGUUACGGCAGAAGAUGAGUAUGCGUUCUAUUAGCUAGAUGGUGUGGUAACGGCACACCAUGGCAACGAUAGAUAGGGGCCCUGAGAGGGGGAUCCCCCACACUGGUACUGAGACACGGACCAGACUCCUACGGGAGGCAGCAGUGAGGAAUAUUGGACAAUGGGCGAGAGCCUGAUCCAGCCAUGCCGCGUGCAGGAAGACUGCCCUAUGGGUUGUAAACUGCUUUUAUACAGGAAGAAACACUCCCUCGUGAGGGAGCUUGACGGUACUGUAAGAAUAAGGAUCGGCUAACUCCGUGCCAGCAGCCGCGGUAAUACGGAGGAUCCAAGCGUUAUCCGGAAUCAUUGGGUUUAAAGGGUCCGUAGGUGGAUAAUUAAGUCAGGGGUGAAAGUCUGCAGCUCAACUGUAGAAUUGCCUUUGAUACUGGUUAUCUUGAAUUAUUAUGAAGUAGUUAGAAUAUGUAGUGUAGCGGUGAAAUGCAUAGAUAUUACAUAGAAUACCAAUUGCGAAGGCAGAUUACUAAUAAUAUAU